CUUUCACACAUCUUCUAACCCUGCUAGCAUCAGCCUGAAACCACGCUAUCACUUCCGGUAACAGACUUUCAAAGUAAAAUCAGAAGAGGUUUGACGGAUUUAUCAGAGACGUAACAUCGAUGUGCGCAUGACCAGGAGGAACACCGGACCUGAACCGGGCCUGAACCGGGCCUCCAGAAACAUCAGAAAUCAGUUUGAUCCGUUUCCCUCCGGAGGAUCCAGAACCAUCGGAUCCAUCCAGUCAGAGCAGAGCCAGUCACCAUGGUAA
This is a long non-coding RNA of Poecilia reticulata (guppy), 268 nucleotides long. RefSeq lists it as uncharacterized. Lineage: Eukaryota; Metazoa; Chordata; Actinopteri; Cyprinodontiformes; Poeciliidae. The record is from RefSeq and is a predicted model, not a curated record.